AACGAACGCUGGCGGCAUGCCUAACACAUGCAAGUCGAACGAGACCUUCGGGCCUAGUGGCGCACGGGUGCGUAACGCGUGGGAAUCUGCCCUUGGGUUCGGGAUAACAGUUGGAAACGACUGCUAAUACCGGAUGACGUCUUCGGACCAAAGAUUUAUCGCCCAGGGAUGAGCCCGCGUCGGAUUAGCGAGUUGGUAGGGUAAAAGCCUACCAAGGCGACGAUCCGUAGCUGGUCUGAGAGGAUGAUCAGCCACACUGGGACUGAGACACGGCCCAGACUCCUACGGGAGGCAGCAGUGGGGAAUAUUGGACAAUGGGCGAAAGCCUGAUCCAGCAAUGCCGCGUGAGUGAUGAAGGCCUUAGGGUUGUAAAGCUCUUUUACCCGGGAUGAUAAUGACAGCACCGGGAGAAUAAGCCCCGGCUAACUCCGUGCCAGCCGCCGCCGUAA
RNAcentral lists this ribosomal RNA (449 nucleotides) under uncultured bacterium. Its description in RNAcentral is "partial 16S ribosomal RNA". It matches the Rfam family "Bacterial small subunit ribosomal RNA", at positions 29 to 523 of the family's 1533-position model. The record is from RNAcentral.